Molecule: unclassified non-coding RNA, 345 nt
Filed under: soil metagenome
Description: partial contains 5.8S ribosomal RNA, internal transcribed spacer 2, and large subunit ribosomal RNA
Rfam family: 5.8S ribosomal RNA (bases 1-120)
Source: RNAcentral
GAUGAAGAACGUAGCGAAAUGCGAUACGUAAUGUGAAUUGCAGAAUUCAGUGAAUCAUCGAGUCUUUGAACGCACAUUGCGCCCCCUGGUAUUCCGGGGGGCAUGCCUGUCCGAGCGUCAUUGCUGCCCUCAAGCACGGCUUGUGUGUUGGGCCUCCGUCCUCCUCCCGGGGGACGGGCCCGAAAGGCAGCGGCGGCACCGCGUCCGGUCCUCGAGCGUAUGGGGCUUCGUCACCCGCUCUUGUAGGCCCGGCCGGCGCUCGCCGACACAUCAAUCUUUUUUCCAGGUUGACCUCGGAUCAGGUAGGGAUACCCGCUGAACGUAAGCAUAUCAAUAAGCGGAGGA